UGGGGAAUUUUGGACAAUGGGCGAAAGCCUGAUCCAGCAAUGCCGCGUGUGUGAAGAAGGCCUUCGGGUUGUAAAGCACUUUUGUCCGGAAAGAAAUCCUUGGCUCUAAUACAGUCGGGGGAUGACGGUACCGGAAGAAUAAGCACCGGCUAACUACGUGCCAGCAGCCGCGGUAAUACGUAGGGUGCAAGCGUUAAUCGGAAUUACUGGGCGUAAAGCGUGCGCAGGCGGUUUGCUAAGACCGAUGUGAAAUCCCCGGGCUCAACCUGGGAACUGCAUUGGUGACUGGCAGGCUAGAGUAUGGCAGAGGGGGGUAGAAUUCCACGUGUAGCAGUGAAAUGCGUAGAGAUGUGGAGGAAUACCGAUGGCGAAGGCAGCCCCCUGGGCCAAUACUGACACUCAUGCACGAAAAGCGUGGGGAGCAAAACAGGAUUAGAUACCCUGGUAGUCCACGCCCUAAAACGAUGUCAACUAGUUGUUGGGGAUUCAUUUCCUUAGUAAACGUAGCUAACGCGUGAAGUUGACCGCCUGGGGGAGUACGGUCGCAAGAUUAAAACUCAAAUGAAUUGACGGGGUCAUAGCU
This 583-nucleotide ribosomal RNA is filed under the name uncultured bacterium. Its description in RNAcentral is "partial 16S ribosomal RNA". It matches the Rfam family "Bacterial small subunit ribosomal RNA", at positions 355 to 926 of the family's 1533-position model. The record is from RNAcentral.